Molecule: ribosomal RNA, 497 nt
Filed under: uncultured bacterium
Lineage: Bacteria
Description: partial 16S ribosomal RNA
Rfam family: Bacterial small subunit ribosomal RNA
Source: RNAcentral
UCCUCCCUCUUUCUUCGUGCCUAAUACAUGCAAGUUGAGCGCUGAAGGUUGGUACUUGUACCAACUGGAUGAGCAGCGCACGGGUGAGUAACGCGUGGGGAAUCUGCCUUUGAGCGGGGGACAACAUUUGGAAACGAAUGCUAAUACCGCAUAAAAACUUUAAACACAAGUUUUAAGUUUGAAAGAUGCAAUUGCAUCACUCAAAGAUGAUCCCGCGUUGUAUUAGCUAGUUGGUGAGGUAAAGGCUCACCAAGGCGAUGAUACAUAGCCGACCUGAGAGGGUGAUCGGCCACAUUGGGACUGAGACACGGCCCAAACUCCUACGGGAGGCAGCAGUAGGGAAGCUUCGGCAAUGGACGAAAGUCUGACCGAGCAACGCCGCGUGAGUGAAGAAGGGUUUCGGAUCGUAAAACUCGGUUGGUAGAGAAGAACGUUGGUGAGAGUGGAAAGCUCAUCAAGUGACGGUAACUACCCAGAAAGGGACGGCUAACUACGUG